RNAcentral lists this long non-coding RNA (339 nucleotides) under Citrus x clementina. RNAcentral's name for it is "Citrus clementina (C. clementina) long non-coding RNA (CCLE_LNC000569)". Lineage: Eukaryota; Viridiplantae; Streptophyta; Magnoliopsida; Sapindales; Rutaceae. The record is from RNAcentral.
UAAUAAUAAUAACAACUUGUAAAGUGUAAUAUUAUAAUAUAAGACAUGAUUAUUUAUAAUCCAAUCUAAUAUUGCACCAAACACAACAUAAUAUUAUAUAUAACCCAAUAUUAUCCAAUCCAAUCUUAUCUUAUUCAAUCCGAUCCAAUCCAAUGUAAUCCAAUCCAACAUACCAAACAAUCCCUAAGGCUAUGUUCGAUUGUAGGGAAAGAGAGGAGAUGAGAGGAGAGGAAAAGAGAGGUGGAGAAAGGAAAGAAGAAGAAGAAGAAAAGGAUAGGGAGUUUAAUUUCCUUUGUUCGUUUUAAGAUAAAAUUAGUAAAAGAAAGGAAUUUUAGAAUU